RNAcentral lists this non-coding RNA (30 nucleotides) under Schistosoma curassoni. Lineage: Eukaryota; Metazoa; Platyhelminthes; Trematoda; Strigeidida; Schistosomatidae. The record is from RNAcentral.
ACGAGUCCCAAACAGGACGAAACGCGCGUC